GCCAGGCGUGGUGGUGCGUGCUUAUAAUCCCAGCUACUCAGGAGGCUGAGGCAGGGGAAUCGCUUGAACCCAGGAGACGGAGGUUGCAGUGAGCCGAGAUCGUGCCACUGCACUCCAGCCUGGGUGACAGAGUGAGACCCUGUCUCAA
Molecule: non-coding RNA, 148 nt
Filed under: Chlorocebus sabaeus (green monkey)
Lineage: Eukaryota; Metazoa; Chordata; Mammalia; Primates; Cercopithecidae
Source: Rfam by way of RNAcentral